AAUGCUGAUUUCUGAGUAUAGGUACAAAUACAUUUAUAAAUACAUAUACAUGUAUAUGUAUUUGUACCUAUACUCAGAAAUCAGUAUUUUUACUG
RNAcentral lists this microRNA precursor (95 nucleotides) under Cricetulus griseus (Chinese hamster). Its description in RNAcentral is "mir-552". Lineage: Eukaryota; Metazoa; Chordata; Mammalia; Rodentia; Cricetidae. The record is from RNAcentral.